ACGUCCAUGGCCAAACGGGAUAAGGCACCCGGCUUCGAACCGGGCGAAUCGAGGUUCGAGUCCUCGUGGGCGUGCCA
Molecule: transfer RNA, 77 nt
Filed under: Magnetovirga frankeli
Lineage: Bacteria; Pseudomonadati; Pseudomonadota; Gammaproteobacteria; Chromatiales; Sedimenticolaceae
Description: gamma proteobacterium SS-5 tRNA-Arg
Rfam family: tRNA
About the family: Transfer RNA (tRNA) molecules are approximately 80 nucleotides in length. Their secondary structure includes four short double-helical elements and three loops (D, anti-codon, and T loops).
Source: RNAcentral